RNAcentral lists this ribosomal RNA (284 nucleotides) under Fusicatenibacter saccharivorans. RNAcentral's name for it is "partial 16S ribosomal RNA". It matches the Rfam family "Bacterial small subunit ribosomal RNA", at positions 493 to 776 of the family's 1533-position model. The record is from RNAcentral. Lineage: Bacteria; Bacillati; Bacillota; Clostridia; Lachnospirales; Lachnospiraceae.
UAUGGUAAGUGGGGGAAAGCAGCCGCGGUAAUACGUAGGGGGCAAGCGUUAUCCGGAUUUACUGGGUGUAAAGGGAGCGUAGACGGCAAGGCAAGUCUGAUGUGAAAACCCAGGGCUUAACCCUGGGACUGCAUUGGAAACUGUCUGGCUCGAGUGCCGGAGAGGUAAGCGGAAUUCCUAGUGUAGCGGUGAAAUGCGUAGAUAUUAGGAAGAACACCAGUGGCGAAGGCGGCUUACUGGACGGUAACUGACGUUGAGGCUCGAAAGCGUGGGGAGCAAACAGG